UACGGGGGGAGCAAGCGUUGUUCGGAUUUACUGGGCGUAAAGGGCGCGUAGGCGGCGCAACAAGUCACUUGUGAAAUCUCCGGGCUUAACCCGGAGCGGCCAAGUGGUACUGUCGUGCUAGAGUGCGGAAGGGGCUACUGGAAUUCUCGGUGUAGCGGUGAAAUGCGUAGAUAUGACAUAGAACACCAAUUGCGCAGGCAGCUUACUACACAGUAAUUGACACUGAGGCACGAAAGCGUGGGGAUCAAACAGG
Molecule: ribosomal RNA, 253 nt
Filed under: uncultured bacterium
Lineage: Bacteria
Description: partial 16S ribosomal RNA
Rfam family: Bacterial small subunit ribosomal RNA
Source: RNAcentral